GCUACAGUCGCAGCCUCAGACACGGCCACAGCCUCUUCUUCCUCCCCUGCUCAUCUUCCUCUCCUUCUUCUCUUCCAACUGCAGUUGCCAUCGCCGCAGCCGCAGCCUCUUCUUCCCCUUCUCUUCUUCCUUUCCUUCCCUUCUUCCUUCCUCUUCCUCUUUCCCUGCCACAGCUGCAGCUGCCACAGCCACAGCCGCAGCUGCUUCUUUCCCUUCUCCUCUUCCUUCUCCUUCCUUUCUUCUUCUUCUCUUCUUCCUCACCUUCUCUUCGUCUCCUUCUCUUCCAGCUACACCUGCCACGGCCGCAGCCGCAGCUCCUCCUUUCCCUUCUCUUCUUCUCCUCUUCUUCUUCCCUCCUCCUCCCCGGCGUCACACACACCCUCUCCUCUAUUUCCUCUUCUCCUGCUUCCUCUUCUUCUUCUCUUCCUCUUCUUCUUCUUCUCCUCUUCGAACGCCCCACACCUCUCCUCUGUUUCCACCUGCACGAAACAGAGUUACUGCAGCCCUAGCUGCUGCCACCUCUCGCUCCUCUCCCUCUUCCUCUCUUUUCCCUCUUCUUCUCCUUCUCUUCUUCUCCUCUUCCCUUUUCCUCCCCAACGCCACACAUCUCCUCGCUGCAGCCUUGCCGCAACUAUCCUCCUCUCUUCUUCUUCUUCUUUCUUCUCCCCACGCCCCACCGCUCCUCUCUCUGU
Molecule: long non-coding RNA, 692 nt
Filed under: Musa acuminata (dwarf banana)
Lineage: Eukaryota; Viridiplantae; Streptophyta; Magnoliopsida; Zingiberales; Musaceae
Description: long non-coding RNA (MACU_LNC011843)
Source: RNAcentral